CGCACGGGUGAGUAACACGUAUGCAAUCCACCUGUAACAGGGGGAUAACCCGGAGAAAUCCGGACUAAUACCCCAUAAUAUGGGCGCUCCGCAUGGAGAGCCCAUUAAAGAGAGCAAUUUUGGUUACAGACGAGCAUGCGCUCCAUUAGCCAGUUGGCGGGGUAACGGCCCACCAAAGCGACGAUGGAUAGGGGUUCUGAGAGGAGGUCCCCCACAUUGGAACUGAGACACGGUCCAA
Molecule: ribosomal RNA, 238 nt
Filed under: uncultured bacterium
Lineage: Bacteria
Description: partial 16S ribosomal RNA
Rfam family: Bacterial small subunit ribosomal RNA
Source: RNAcentral